This 922-nucleotide ribosomal RNA is filed under the name uncultured bacterium. RNAcentral's name for it is "bacterial SSU rRNA". It matches the Rfam family "Bacterial small subunit ribosomal RNA", at positions 577 to 1501 of the family's 1533-position model. The record is from RNAcentral.
GGUUCGUCACGUCGGAUGUGAAAAUCUGGGGCUUAACCCCAGACCUGCAUUCGAUACGGGCGAGCUAGAGUGUGGUAGGGGAGACUGGAAUUCCUGGUGUAGCGGUGGAAUGCGCAGAUAUCAGGAGGAACACCAAUGGCGAAGGCAGGUCUCUGGGCCAUUACUGACACUGAGGAGCGAAAGUGUGGGGAGCGAACAGGAUUAGAUACCCUGGUAGUCCACGCCGUAAACGGUGGGCACUAGUUGUGGGAACCUUCCACGGUUUCUGCGACGCAGCUAACGCAUUAAGUGCCCCGCCUGGGGAGUACGAUCGCAAGAUUAAAACUCAAAGGAAUUGACGGGGCCCCGCACAAGCAGCGGAGCAUGCGGCUUAAUUCGACGCAACGCGAAGAACCUUACCAAGGCUUGACAUAUACAGGAAUAUGGCAGAGAUGUCAUAGCCGCAAGGUCUGUAUACAGGUGGUGCAUGGUUGUCGUCAGCUCGUGUCGUGAGAUGUUGGGUUAAGUCCCGCAACGAGCGCAACCCUCGUUCUGUGUUGCCAGCAUUUAGUUGGGGACUCACAGGAGACUGCCGGGGUUAACUCGGAGGAAGGUGGGGAUGACGUCAAAUCAUCAUGCCCCUUAUGUCUUGGGCUGCACGCAUGCUACAAUGGCUGGUACAAAUGGCUGCGAUACCGCAAGGUGGAGCGAAUCCGAAAAAGCCAGUCUCAGUUCGGAUUGGGGUCUGCAACUCGACCCCAUGAAGUCGGAGUUGCUAGUAAUCGUAGAUCAGCAACGCUACGGUGAAUACGUUCCCGGGGCUUGUACACACCGCCCGUCACGUCACGAAAGUCGGUAACACCCGAAGUCAGUGGCCCAACCGUAAGGGGGGAGCUGCCGAAGGUGGGAUCGGUGAUUGGGACGAAGUCGUAACAAGGUAACC